UCUAAAAUUCAAAAAUGGAAAAUGAUACUCAGAAUUCUUUGAUGGAGCCACCCACAAGAAAAAGGCCGAUCCAGGAGGAUAAGAAGUGAGACAAAUAGGAUUGAUCCAGAUAUGCAGACUACUGCAAGCAUCUCACAUAGUCUCCAUGUGUUGCAAGAAUUCUAAUGGGACUGUAGACCAGGACUCGUGUAUAUCUGCUGGGUGCUACUGAAUAAAGAUUUCAUGAGGGCCCGUGGAUGGUGCAGAGGGCUGGUGCUGAACUGCUACCUCGCUGAAAGGGCGGCAGUUUGCCCCUCUCCAGCGCUGGCGUGGAAGUCAGGACCGCCAAGGAGACCCAGCGCGGCGGUUCUGCUCUAGCUGCGGGGCUCGCCGUGCGUUUGGACACAGCUCGACGGCAAUGAGGUUCCUUCAAGACCUGCUUCGCCAUACCAUUGGAA
Long non-coding RNA from Echinops telfairi (small Madagascar hedgehog), 437 nucleotides. RefSeq lists it as uncharacterized. NCBI's taxonomy places the organism in Eukaryota, Metazoa, Chordata, Mammalia, Afrosoricida, Tenrecidae. The record is from RefSeq and is a predicted model, not a curated record. The transcript has 3 exons.